AAUCCAUAGGUUAAUGAGGCGAACCGGGGGAACUGAAACAUCUAAGUACCCCGAGGAAAAGAAAUCAACCGAGAUUCCCCCAGUAGCGGCGAGCGAACGGGGAGGAGCCCAGAGCCUGAAUCAGCAUGUGUGUUAGUGGAAGCGUCUGGAAAGGCGCGCGAUACAGGGUGACAGCCCCGUACACAAAAGCGCAUGUGCUGUGAGCUCGAUGAGUAGGGCGGGACACGUGGUAUCCUGUCUGAAUAUGGGGGGACCAUCCUCCAAGGCUAAAUACUCCUGACUGACCGAUAGUGAACCAGUACCGUGAGGGAAAGGCGAAAAGAACCCCGGCGAGGGGAGUGAAAAAGAACCUGAAACCGUGUACGUACAAGCAGUGGGAGCACAGGUUUACCUGUGUGACUGCGUACCUUUUGUAUAAUGGGUCAGCGACUUAUAUUCUGUAGCAAGGUUAACCGUAUAGGGGAGCCGGAGGGAAACCGAGUCUUAACCGGGCGUUAAGUUGCAGGGUAUAGACCCGAAACCCGGUGAUCUAGCCAUGGGCAGGUUGAAGGUUGGGUAACACUAACUGGAGGACCGAACCGACUAAUGUUGAAAAAUUAGCGGAUGACCUGUGGCUGGGGGUGAAAGGCCAAUCAAACCGGGAGAUAGCUGGUUCUCCCCGAAAGCUAUUUAGGUAGCGCCUCGUGAA
RNAcentral lists this ribosomal RNA (688 nucleotides) under Salmonella enterica subsp. enterica serovar Muenchen. RNAcentral's name for it is "partial 23S ribosomal RNA". It matches the Rfam family "Bacterial large subunit ribosomal RNA", at positions 161 to 888 of the family's 2925-position model. RNAcentral also lists the same sequence under 2 other names. Lineage: Bacteria; Pseudomonadati; Pseudomonadota; Gammaproteobacteria; Enterobacterales; Enterobacteriaceae. The record is from RNAcentral.